Bos taurus (domestic cattle) is the source of this 1017-nucleotide long non-coding RNA. The record is from Ensembl. NCBI's taxonomy places the organism in Eukaryota, Metazoa, Chordata, Mammalia, Artiodactyla, Bovidae.
CCUCAGAACGUGACUGUAUUUGGAGACAGCACCUUUAAAGAGGUAAUUAGGUUGAAAUGCAGUCAUUAGUAAUGGCCCUAAUUUGAUAGGAAAGCUUUCUUUAUAAUAAAAGGAAUUUGGACACAGAGGGAACACCAUGAGAAGACAUCUCCAACUACAAGCCAAGGAAAGAGGCCUCAGAAGAAACCAUCACAGCUGGACACCUCAUUCUUGUGCUCCUGGCCUUCAAAACUGAGAAAAGGGAAGUGACUGCAGAAGCCUCACCUAGGGCACUUCAGACCAGAGUUCCUCAUCAGAGAGCUCUGAGCCCAACUUCUCAGCUGGGAGCCAUGUGCAGAAGUGCUGCACACGACACCAUGAAGACCACAGCUGCAAGCAGUGUGCAGAGAGGCUGUGCGGGACACCUCAGCCCCGAGCUGGUGGGCCACAUGCAGGAGCGCUGAGCACAGCACUGGGGUUCCAGAUGGUGGCCGUAUGCGCUGACGCUGCGCCCAGCACUGCAACCAGAGCCCUGAGCAGCACACCUACACUCACCCUCUCAGCCUCUAUAAAGCAACCCCAUCCCACCACUGGUCGGGGAGAGCCUGUGAUCUACAGCAGGAGCCUCCACCUCUCCAUUCUCUGAUCAAGGCUUUCCUUUGCCUCAGAACCAAACUCAGGCUUGUUCUACUGGCAUGAGCAACACCAGGCAGGAGGAUACUUGUUGGCAUGGGACUCAAGAAUGUCAGUAACUCCUUAGCCGAUGGCAAAGCAUUGAACUAACAAUACGUUCAGGCUCUCCCCUGUUUCACUGAAACCACUUUUGGAAUGAAAUACUCCACUAGAUGAUAAAUACUCCACUAGAUGAUAUCCUUGGGCCUGAUACUGUCACUGCUUAAACUGGCUGAAGAGAGUGAGUUCCCCCCAGCCCCUACCCCGACCUCGUCCCCAUCCUAUAUUGUAAGACCUCUGAAAUCUCCACCUUCCUCAGAGCUUAUCCAGUCCCAGGAUGCCAGCCUUGGGUACCCAGCCCUCUGC